UCCGGGUUUCUCCCGGCAGUCUCGUUAGAAAAGUACAACUAACGACAAGGGUUGCGCUCGUUGCGGGACUUAACCCAACACCUCACGGCACGAGCUGACGACAACCAUGCAGCACCUGUGCUAGCUCCCCGAAGGGUCCCUUCCCUUUCAGGUCGGUACCACUAGCAUGUCAAGCCCUGGUAAGGUUCUUCGCGUAGCGUCGAAUUAAACCACACGCUCCGCUGCUUGUGCGGGCCCCCGUCAAUUCCUUUGAGUUUUAGCCUUGCGGCCGUAGUCCCCAGGCGGGACACUUAUUGCGUUAGCUACGGCACAGAGGGGGUCGAUACCCCCCACACCUAGUGUCCAUCGUUUACAGCGUGGACUAC
Molecule: unclassified non-coding RNA, 365 nt
Filed under: uncultured Chloroflexota bacterium
Lineage: Bacteria; Bacillati; Chloroflexota
Description: uncultured Chloroflexi bacterium contains 16S-23S intergenic spacer region
Source: RNAcentral